RNAcentral lists this ribosomal RNA (508 nucleotides) under uncultured bacterium. RNAcentral describes it as "partial 16S ribosomal RNA". It matches the Rfam family "Bacterial small subunit ribosomal RNA", at positions 28 to 523 of the family's 1533-position model. The record is from RNAcentral.
GAUGAACGCUAGCUACUGGCUUAACACAUGCAAGUCGAGGGGAAACGAUAUUGGAAGCUUGCUUCCGAUAGGCGUCGACCGGCGCACGGGUGAGUGACGCGUAUCCAACCUGCCCAUCACUUGGGGAUAACCUUGCGAAAGUAAGACUAAUACCCAAUGACGUCUCUAGAAGACAUCUGAAAGAGAUUAAAGAUUUAUCGGUGAUGGAUGGGGAUGCGUCUGAUUAGCUUGUUGGCGGGGUAACGGCCCACCAAGGCGACGAUCAGUAGGGGUUCUGAGAGGAAGGUCCCCCACAUUGGAACUGAGACACGGGCCAAACUCCUACGGGAGGCAGCAGUGAGGAAUAUUGGUCAAUGGGCGAGAGCCUGAACCAGCCAAGUAGUGUGCAGGAUGACGGCCCUAUGGGUUGUAAACUGCUUUUAUAAGGGAAUAAAGUGGGAGUCGUGACUCCUUUUGCAUGUACCUUAUGAAUAAGGACCGGCUAAUUCCGUGCCAGCCGCCGCCGUAA